CCUAUGGGGCGCAGCAGGGGGGAAAACUCCGCAAUGCACGAAAGUGUGACGGGGGAACUCUAAGUGCCAGCACACUGUGUUGGCUUUUCAUUAGUCCAAAUCGCUAGUGGAAUAAGUGGGGGGUAAGACCGUUGCCAGCCGCCGCGGUAA
Molecule: ribosomal RNA, 150 nt
Filed under: uncultured archaeon
Lineage: Archaea
Description: partial 16S ribosomal RNA
Rfam family: Archaeal small subunit ribosomal RNA
Source: RNAcentral